UACGGAGGGUGCAAGCGUUGUUCGGAAUUAUUGGGCGUAAAGGGCAGGUAGGUGGUCUUGUAAGUCUACUGUGAAAUCCCCGGGCUUAACCUGGGAAGUGCGGUGGAUACUGCAGGACUAGAGUGCUGGAAGGGUGCGUGGAAUUCCCGGUGUAGCGGUGAAAUGCGUAGAGAUCGGGAGGAAGGCCGGUGGCGAAGGCGGCGCUCUGGAACAUUUCUGACGCUGAGGCUCGAAAGCGUGGGGGGCAAACAGG
Molecule: ribosomal RNA, 253 nt
Filed under: uncultured bacterium
Lineage: Bacteria
Description: partial 16S ribosomal RNA
Rfam family: Bacterial small subunit ribosomal RNA
Source: RNAcentral